RNAcentral lists this ribosomal RNA (484 nucleotides) under uncultured bacterium. RNAcentral's name for it is "partial 16S ribosomal RNA". It matches the Rfam family "Bacterial small subunit ribosomal RNA", at positions 29 to 523 of the family's 1533-position model. The record is from RNAcentral.
AGUGAACGCUGGCGGCGUGCUUAACACAUGCAAGUCGAACGAGAACGGGUUAUAGCUUGCUAUAAUUGUCAGCUAAGUGGCGCACGGGUGCGUAAUGUAUAGGUAAUAUGCCUCUUACUAAGGGAUAACAAAUGGAAACGUUUGCUAAUACCUUAUACUCUUUAUUAACAUAAGUUAAUAAGGGAAAGAUUUAUUGGUAAGAGAUUAGCCUGUAUUGUAUCAGUUAGUUGGUGGGGUAAUGGCUUACCAAGACUAUGACACAUAACUGGUUGGAGAGGAUGAUCAGUCACACUGGAACUGAGACACGGUCCAGACGCCUACGGGAGGCAGCAGUGGGGAAUAUUGCACAAUGGACGAAAGUCUGAUGCAGCAACGCCGCGUGGAGGAUGACACAUUUCGGUGCGUAAACUCCUUUUAUAUGAGAAGAUAAUGACGGUAUUAUAUGAAUAAGCACCGGCUAACUCCGUGCCAGCAGCCGCCGUAA